RNAcentral lists this ribosomal RNA (254 nucleotides) under uncultured bacterium. RNAcentral's name for it is "partial 16S ribosomal RNA". It matches the Rfam family "Bacterial small subunit ribosomal RNA", at positions 524 to 776 of the family's 1533-position model. The record is from RNAcentral.
UACGUAGGGUGCAAGCGUUAAUCGGAAUUACUGGGCGUAAAGCGUGCGCAGGCGGCUUUGCAAGACAGAUGUGAAAUCCCCGGGCUUAACCUGGGAACUGCAUUUGUGACUGCAUGGCUGGAGUGCGGCAGAGGGGGAUGGAAUUCCGCGUGUAGCAGUGAAAUGCGUAGAUAUGCGGAGGAACACCGAUGGCGAAGGCGAUCCCCUGGGCCUGCACUGACGCUCAUGCACGAAAGGCGUGGGGAGCAAACAGG